RNAcentral lists this ribosomal RNA (446 nucleotides) under uncultured bacterium. RNAcentral's name for it is "partial 16S ribosomal RNA". It matches the Rfam family "Bacterial small subunit ribosomal RNA", at positions 338 to 795 of the family's 1533-position model. The record is from RNAcentral.
CCUACGGGGGGCUGCAGUCGAGAAUCAUUCACAAUGGGGGAAACCCUGAUGGUGCGACGCCGCGUGGGGGAAUGAAGGUCUUCGGAUUGUAAACCCCUGUCAUGUGGGAGCAAAUUAAAAAGAUAGUACCACAAGAGGAAGAGACGGCUAACUCUGUGCCAGCAGCCGCGGUAAUACAGAGGUCUCAAGCGUUGUUCGGAAUCACUGGGCGUAAAGCGUGCGUAGGCGGUUUCGUAAGUCGUGUGUGAAUGGCGCGGGCUCAACCCGCGGACGGCACAUGAUACUGCGAGACUAGAGUAAUGGAGGGGGAACCGGAAUUCUCGGUGUAGCAGUGAAAUGCGUAGAUAUCGAGAGGAACACUAGUGGCGAAGGCGGGUUACUGGACAUUAACUGACGCUGAGGCACGAAGGCCAGGGGAGCGAAAGGGAUUAGAUACCCUUGUAGUC